Xyrichtys novacula (pearly razorfish) is the source of this 1141-nucleotide non-coding RNA. Lineage: Eukaryota; Metazoa; Chordata; Actinopteri; Labriformes; Labridae. The record is from the annotation of a GenBank genome assembly.
GCUCAGGUCUCAGUAGAAGAAGAAUGAAAUUAACAUGAACUUAAAAGUUUCAUGUUUUUCAAACUCAAACCGGGAUAAUCAAAAUUAUUCUGGUUUGAGUUUCAAAAACAUGAAACUUUUAAUCUGAUUCAGUUAUUAAACAUAAACAAGCACACGUCAGUGAACCAGCUUGGUGUCUUUGGAGUAUUUAUCUUUAUCCUUAUUAAAAACAGAGCCGAUUAUAAUUAUAACCAAUGACACAUUAAUACACAGAAAAAAACUGAAAAAGUACAGACAGAUCACUUCUACAGACUGAACUUCCUGUUUUUUUCCUCUGUCGACUCACAAGACGACUUUUUAGAGAGGAAAGAGAAGUUAGAGAAGUUAGCUGAGGGUGGUUCCUGUGUGUCCUCUGUUCUGUCUCUGUAAAUGGACUCAUGUAAGUUAUGAUAUAUGAUGAUUUUGGUGGAGCUGAGAACGUGUUUAAUGCGCACAUUAAAUCUGUUUUUGUGAUCCAAGAAGAGACACAUGAGGCUGAUUGGGAAUUAACAUGUUUAAAAGCCCAAAAUCAAUCUAUCAAUACCAGAAUGAGACUAUUACAGUACAGAUGGUUCAUGAGAACUUACAUGACUCCGGUCAAACUGACCCGAUGGACACCUGUGUUAAAUGUCUUAAAGAACAGGACCCCCCCUCUUUCAUUGUGUUUGGGAAUGUCUAUAACUACAUGAAUACUGGAAAACUGUGGUUAAGAUUGGAUCUGAAGUUGUGGGGAUUAAAGUGCCCCUCCAAGCAAAAUUGUGUCUACUGGGAACAUAUCCAAAUGACUUUAUUGUUACUCAAAGCAGAUGACUUUAAUCGACCUGGACUCCUGCAGGUCAGGAGAGUAACCGCCUUAUCCUGGAAGAAAAUGGAUGAACCUUCGAUAAAUGUUUGAGUGGAAGAGACGACUUCAUGAGUCGGACUAGAGAGAUGAACAUCUAUCAUCAGAGGGAAAACAGGUGGAUCUGAGAAGGUUUGGAGACCCCUGUUGGACAGUCUUGGACGUUGGGGCGCUGACACUAAUGUACAGAGUUUAUGUAUAUUUUAUUUUAUUCAUUUCUGUUUUCUCUCGUGUCACCCUGUCCUUUUUUUAAUCUUUUACUUUCUAUUUACUUGUUUUGGA